UAAGAGGUCCCGCCUGCCCUGUGACUAUAUGUUUAACGGCCGCGGUAUUUUGACCGUGCGAAGGUAGCGCAAUCACUUGUCUUUUAAAUGAAGACCUGUAUGAAUGGCAUAACGAGGGCUUAACUGUCUCCUCUUUUAAGUCAAUGAAAUUGAUCUUCCCGUGCAGAAGCGGGAAUACACCCAUAAGACGAGAAGACCCUAUGGAGCUUUAGACACCAAGGCAGCUCAUGUUUAAAGACCCUCGAACAAGAGAUUAAACCAAAUGAAGCCUGCCCUAAUGUCUUUGGUUGGGGCGACCGCGGGGAAAUAAAAAACCCCCAUGUGGAAUGGGAGCACCCCUCCUAGAACCAAGAGGCACACCUCUAAGCAACAGAAUAUCUGACCAACAAGAUCCGGCAAUGCCGAUCAACGGACCGAGUUACCCUAGGGAUAACAGCGCAAUCCCCUUUUAGAGCCCAUAUCGACAAGGGGGUUUACGACCUCGAUGUUGGAUCAGGACAUCCUAAUGGUGCAGCCGCUAUUAAGGGUUCGUUUGUUCAACG
Molecule: ribosomal RNA, 542 nt
Filed under: Peristedion miniatum (armored searobin)
Lineage: Eukaryota; Metazoa; Chordata; Actinopteri; Perciformes; Peristediidae
Description: partial 16S large subunit ribosomal RNA
Rfam family: Bacterial large subunit ribosomal RNA
Source: RNAcentral